Molecule: ribosomal RNA, 498 nt
Filed under: uncultured bacterium
Lineage: Bacteria
Description: partial 16S ribosomal RNA
Rfam family: Bacterial small subunit ribosomal RNA
Source: RNAcentral
GACGAACGCUGGCGGCGUGCCUAAUACAUGCAAGUCGAGCGGACGGAUGGGAGCUUGCUCCCAGACCGUCAGCGGCGGACGGGUGAGUAACACGUGGGCAACCUGCCUGUAAGACUGGGAUAACUCCGGGAAACCGGGGCUAAUACCGGAUAACUCUUUCCCUCACAUGAGGGAAAGCUGAAAGAUGGCAUCUCGCUAUCACUUACAGAUGGGCCCGCGGCGCAUUAGCUAGUUGGUGAGGUAACGGCUCACCAAGGCGACGAUGCGUAGCCGACCUGAGAGGGUGAUCGGCCACACUGGGACUGAGACACGGCCCAGACUCCUACGGGAGGCAGCAGUAGGGAAUCUUCCGCAAUGGACGAAAGUCUGACGGAGCAACGCCGCGUGAGUGAUGAAGGUGUUCGGAUCGUAGAACUCUGUUGUCAGGGAAGAACAAGUACCGGAGUAACUGCCGGUACCUUGACGGUACCUGACCAGAAAGCCACGGCUAACUACGUG